RNAcentral lists this ribosomal RNA (228 nucleotides) under uncultured bacterium. RNAcentral describes it as "partial 16S ribosomal RNA". It matches the Rfam family "Bacterial small subunit ribosomal RNA", at positions 524 to 750 of the family's 1533-position model. The record is from RNAcentral.
UACGGAGGGUGCGAGCGUUUGUCCGGAAUCACUGGGCGUAAAGGGCGCGUAGGCGGCCCUGGCAGUCGGUGGUGAAAGCCCGCGGCUCAACUGCGGGUCGGCCACCGAUACUCCAGGGCUCGAGUUUGGUAGAGGCAGAUGGAAUUCCGGGUGUAGCGGUGGAAUGCGUAGAGAUCCGGAAGAACACCGGUGGCGAAGGCGGCAUCCUGGACCGACAUUGACGCUGAA